UACGUAGGGGGCAAGCGUUGUCCGGAAUUAUUGGGCGUAAAGAGCGUGUAGGCGGUCCGGUAAGUCAGCUGUGAAAGUCCAGGGCUCAACCCUUGAAUGCCGGUUGAUACUGUCGGGCUAGAGUCCGGAAGAGGCGAGUGGAAUUCCCGGUGUAGCGGUGAAAUGCGCAGAUAUCGGGAGGAACACCAAUGGCGAAGGCAGCUCGCUGGGACGGUACUGACGCUGAGACGCGAAAGCGUGGGGAGCAAACAGG
Molecule: ribosomal RNA, 253 nt
Filed under: uncultured bacterium
Lineage: Bacteria
Description: partial 16S ribosomal RNA
Rfam family: Bacterial small subunit ribosomal RNA
Source: RNAcentral